CUUGACACUGAACAUUGAGCCUUGAUGUGUAGGAUAGGUGGGAGGCUUUGAAGUGUGGACGCCAGUCUGCAUGGAGCCGACCUUGAAAUACCACCCUUUAAUGUUUGAUGUUCUAACGUUGACCCGUAAUCCGGGUUGCGGACAGUGUCUGGUGGGUAGUUUGACUGGGGCGGUCUCCUCCUAAAGAGUAACGGAGGAGCACGAAGGUUGGCUAAUCCUGGUCGGACAUCAGGAGGUUAGUGCAAUGGCAUAAGCCAGCUUGACUGCGAGCGUGACGGCGCGAGCAGGUGCGAAAGCAGGUCAUAGUGAUCCGGUGGUUCUGAAUGGAAGGGCCAUCGCUCAACGGAUAAAAGGUACUCCGGGGAUAACAGGCUGAUACCGCCCAAGAGUUCAUAUCGACGGCGGUGUUUGGCACCUCGAUGUCGGCUCAUCACAUCCUGGGGCUGAAGUAGGUCCCAAGGGUAUGGCUGUUCGCCAUUUAAAGUGGUACGCGAGCUGGGUUUAGAACGUCGUGAGACAGUUCGGUCCCUAUCUGCCGUGGGCGCUGGAGAACUGAGGGGGGCUGCUCCUAGUACGAGAGGACCGGAGUGGACGCAUCACUGGUGUUCGGGUUGUCAUGCCAAUGGCACUGCCCGGUAGCUAAAUGCGGAAGAGAUAAGUGCUGAAAGCAUCUAAGCACGAAACUUGCCCCGAGAUGAGUUCUCCCUGACCCUUUAAGGGUCCUGAAGGAACGUUGAAGACGACGACGUUGAUAGGCCGGGUGUGUAAGCGCAGCGAUGCGUUGAGCUAACCGGUACUAAUGAACCGUGAGGCUUAACCUUACAACGCCGAAGGUGUUU
RNAcentral lists this ribosomal RNA (839 nucleotides) under Escherichia coli. RNAcentral's name for it is "bacterial LSU rRNA". It matches the Rfam family "Bacterial large subunit ribosomal RNA", at positions 2110 to 2925 of the family's 2925-position model. Lineage: Bacteria; Pseudomonadati; Pseudomonadota; Gammaproteobacteria; Enterobacterales; Enterobacteriaceae. The record is from RNAcentral.